GGGCCAGUGACCCGAGUGGCAAAGGGAGCAGAUUCUUAAUCUGCCGCGGGGAAACCCGCUUCGUGGGUUCGAGUCCCACCUGGCUCUCCA
This 90-nucleotide transfer RNA is filed under the name Acidobacteriota bacterium. Its description in RNAcentral is "Acidobacteria bacterium (marine sediment metagenome) tRNA-Lys". It matches the Rfam family "tRNA". From Rfam's summary of the family: Transfer RNA (tRNA) molecules are approximately 80 nucleotides in length. Their secondary structure includes four short double-helical elements and three loops (D, anti-codon, and T loops). Lineage: Bacteria; Pseudomonadati; Acidobacteriota. RNAcentral also lists the same sequence under 1 other name. The record is from RNAcentral.